UACGUAGGGACCAAGCGUUGUUCGGAUUUACUGGGCGUAAAGGGCGCGUAGGCGGCGCGGUAAGUCACUUGUGAAAUCUCUGAGCUUAACUCAGAACGGCCAAGUGAUACUGCAGUGCUAGAGUGUGGAAGGGGCAAUCGGAAUUCUUGGUGUAGCGGUGAAAUGCGUAGAUAUCGGGAGGAACAUCUGUGGCGAAGGCGACACCCUGGACCAGCACUGACACUGAGGCACGAAAGCGUGGGGAGCAAACAGG
RNAcentral lists this ribosomal RNA (253 nucleotides) under uncultured bacterium. RNAcentral's name for it is "partial 16S ribosomal RNA". It matches the Rfam family "Bacterial small subunit ribosomal RNA", at positions 524 to 776 of the family's 1533-position model. The record is from RNAcentral.